GCAAAGCACCUGCGGCAUAUGGAAGUUUCCAGGCUAGGGGUCAAAUUGGAGCUGUAACUGUCGGCCUUUACCACAGCCACGGCAACGUGGGGUCUGGGCUGCAUCUACAACCUACACCACAGCUCACAUCAACGCUGGCCCCUUAACCCGCUGCGAGGCCAGGGAUAGAACCUGCAUCCUCACGGAUACUCGUGGGGCUCGUUUCUGCUAAGCCACAGUGGGAACGCCUCUUAUGCGUGACUUUUGGCCAAAGGGACCGGCUCUACCAAAAACAGGGACUGAAGCAUACCCAGGUGACUAUCUGGCUCACCUGAUUCUCUUCCCAGUGGGGCUUUGAAACAUGGGGACAAACUUUAGACACAGAGAAUGGAGCCAUUGCCUCUGUCGGGAUGGGAGAAAUUCACAGAUGUCUUGACAGCAGCUACCUCGCGACACUGAGUGGUAGCGGACCACUGGAAAAACUCUGGGUAAGAAAGACUAUCAAAGGAGCAUCAGGUCCAGAUUGCAAAUUGCUUUAGCAGCUAAAACAGGCAGAAAGAUAGAGCAACUCACGCUAAUCCAGGGGGUUUAUGCUUCGGGCUGGCUGCCUCUGACGCCCACCCUUGACCCAGCCCAUUCAUCAGUAUUUUGAUAAGCAGAUUCCCCUGCAGAGCUUCUUAAUCUGGGUUCCCAGAGGAGUCUUGCAGAGAUUAAUGAGAGCCCUGCCGCUGCCUGCCAGCUCUUGAGGGUGGGGCAGUUAAAUCACAAAAGGGAAGGGACUGGUCGAGGAUGCCCAAACUCUCCCAUCACUGGACCUGACGCCUCUAGGGGUCAACUCAGUAUCUUUUCAACUUAAAUACCUGGAUCUGUUUUUAUUUUUAUUUUUAAUCCACUUUCUCCUUGGUAUCUAGGGAAAUUAAAGCCCUGGCUCACAUCUUCCUUAAGGCCAGCUUUUAGCCAGAGCCAUGACAGCAUCUGGAGCUCAACAAAGAUUAGGGGCAGAGGCAGGCAGGAAUGCCAGGGACAGAGAGGAAAUCCAGUGCUACCAAGGGCACCACCAAUGUGCUGUACCCGCCAUGCAGCCCUCCCACCAAAUACCCUCUGGCUACAGUCCCCUGACAGUGGUGGGAGGGGAAGCUGGGGCUGCAACCCCAAAGCCUGAGCCCUCACAGAAGUGCAGCCCCUAAGACAAAAAAAAAAAAAAAAAGGGAGUUCCCAUCGUGGUGCAGUGGUUAACGAAUCCGACUAGGAACCGUGAGGUUGCGGGUUUGGUCCUUGCCCUUGCUCAGUGGGUUAACGAUCCGGCGUUGCCAUGAGCUGUGGUGUAGGUUGCAGACGCGGCUCAGAUCCCGCGCUGCUGUGGCUCUGGCGUAGGCCGGUGGCUACAGCUCCGAUUCCACCCCUAGCCUGGGAACUUCCAUAUGCCACGGGAGUGGCCCAAGAAAUAGCAAAAAAAGACAAAAAAAAAAAAAGAAAAGAUGCUCCGGGGAGUCGCCACACCCCAAACCGCAGGGCUGGUCUCUGCUCUUGGUGUUGCCUAAUAGCUCCUCCAAUUGUUAUUCAUUUAUGGAUUUAUUUUGCUUUUGAUUUUAUUUUGCUUUUACAUAUUUAUUUUUUAGGCUGCCCCUCGGCUUAUGGAGUUCUCAGGCCAGGGAUCAGAUGUGAGUCGAAGCCGGGACGAAGCCGCAGGUGCAGCAAUGCCAGAUCCUCAACCCACAGUGCCAAGCCAGGGGUGGAACCCGCAUCUCAGCAUUCCCAAGAGGCUGCCGAUCCCACUGCACCACAGCGGGAACUCUGCAGGCUGGGUUCCCUGUGAGACGUGAUCUGGGGAAAUUUUCUGGGCUGUCCUCUGGAGAGAUGGGACUUAUUUUGAAGUAAGAUGUGAUGAGGGAACCCUAGAUUUGAGUUCAGUUUGUGAAUUAUUGGGGCGGGGGGGGGUAAAAUCAGGCUUACCGAGCUUGUAGGACCUUGCAUGUGCUGGAAGAAAAAGUCUUACAAAUUCCAAGUGACAGGUAUGGCAAGAAGGAGGAGGACGAGCCGGGACAGCAGCUUCAACUCUGGCUGCUCCCGUGCUGACAUGUGUCCACUGAACGCAGCCUCAGGACUUGGGGGAAAAAGACCGUCACGCGGAGCUCCGAGCUCACGAGCAGGUCUAAAGGGACCGGCAAGUCAACUAACAAAGGCGUCGGGGGUGGGAACCCCCCUGGGUCUUCCCUCGCCCCUCCUGUGACCACGGCUGGCAUCUCAGGCCCGCUGUCCGUGAACAGACAGGGAAAUAGCUAACUACCCAGCUGAGUCCACGUUCAGCCCCAGAGGAAGGUCGACGGCUGACUGUCUAGGAGUCUGCGGUCUCACUGACACCAGCAGCUCUCAGAGUGUGGAGCACAGCUGCCCUCCGUCUAUGGCUGUGGACUGGGGGGGGGGGGACAAACAUGUGCUGGGAGGGGGCCGUCCCAGCCCCUCCGGCCAGGCUCCUCAGAGGCUGGCGCAUCACCCAGCCCCCAGGUGGGGGCAUCAUGGUGGAGACCACGGCUGCCCCUGCAUCAGCUGUCCUGGUUCAGCAGACCUUCCUUCUUUAGCCAGACCUGGAAGCCAAAGAGGUCAGGCCAACCUGCAGCUCGGGGUCCAGCCCAGACGGGCGGCUACCUGGCCAGCCUCCUGGCCUCUGUAUGCGGCGCAGCCUGCUCUGGAUGGUAGGCUCCCUGCCCAGGAUUUGCAGUGAACUUGGCUGCUCCCUGCGGGAUUUACUGGGUCUGGACCUGCCCGCGGUAGAAGGUCAAGUGUCAGUUCAACGAGGGAGCCCCUGUCCCCCUUCGUCUUCCUGACUUCCCUUCUCCCCAGCCACCUUUUCUUCUCCACACUGGCCUUCUCUUGGCUCAGUUUCUCUCUGACCUUGACCGACCUCUGGUGUGCUGGGUAUUUUUCCAAGGACCACGUUGGCCCAUCAGACGUGCAAAAGGGCAGGAGCCUGGUCUCUCCUCCAACGAGCCACCCAGCGCCGUGCAGUCCGCAGCACCAAGACACAGAGAGGCCCUGAUGUGCUAAUGGUCCUUCAGAGCUCAGCUGAAGAGCUGGACAAGACUCCAAGAGUCCCGACUCGCCACACACAUCCUGACUCAAACUCAGUCUUUGUCUCAAGGGUGAUGGAUGCCAGGCUACCCGUGACAGGAAGGGCAACCUCUGAGUAUUUCCAACACAACAGGCAAAGCUCUCACCCGUGGAGUUUAUAUUAUGUCAUCAUCCCCCAGGUUCCUCGCAGCCCCCAGGACAGGCGGCCAGGGCGGGUCCUUGCAAUCCUUCGGUCUUUAAAUGGUUAUUGAAGACAUUCCCUCUCAGAAAGGGGCACUGAGCGGAGACUGCAGGGAGACCACUGGUCCGCCUUGGGCGUUCCUGGACCAGAUGCUCACCCAGUGUUCCCAAGCACAGUCUUCCUAAGAGCGGCACGAGGCGGGAUGGUUGGGGCACCCUCGUUGUGGCCCCAGUUGCCCCAAGCCAUCACCUGCCUACCGCCAGUAAAGGGUCAACAGAAAAUAUCUCAGACUGUUCAGGGCCACGUGCCAUCUCUGCUGCAUAUACUCUAUUCCUCGAAGUUUAUUUUUUAAAAACUUUUUGAAAAUGUAAGGACCACUCUUAGCGUGAGGUGCAGAACAAGACAGGCAGCAGGUGGGUUUGGCUCACAGACAGGCCACGGCUUGCAGAGCCCUGGCCAAUCGGAAGAAGCCACGACAUUUUUUAUCAGUCCUCCCCAAGCAGCACCGCCACCCCCGCCCUCCCAGUCAUGACACCUCCAGACCCUCCCACGCACCCAAGGACUGCCCCUGACUCUGCUCCAACGGCUCUCGGCAUCUGUGCUCAGGCCCAGGAGGGCCUCCCUCAGCAAACAUUUCAUGGAGAAAGCACGUCGUACAGAUGCCAACAACGAGCUCCUGUGUCUCUCUCAUGCUUAACCGGGGAUGCUCAAGGCCCAGACAGCCUCAUCCUGCACUGUGAGGGCUCACCUGACCGCACUCGUGUGGCCGUGUCCACAUAUCUCCCCACCAUAACAGUGCCACUUAGUUAAUGACUUCACUUGGGUUCUUCUACUCCCCCUCCCGUGUGGGUACAGGGUGGGCAGAGCAAGGGCAAGACAGAUCCCAUCAGCUGCGUCUCGCAGCAUAGCCAGGACCCAUCACUCCCCACCUCCACUGUAGCACCCAGGCCACACCCUUCUCCCUGGAUGCCCACCGCCACAGCCUCCCACCUGAGCCCCCUGCUUCUGUCUCUGCCCUCCUUCCUCUCCCUUUCAACACCUCUGGGAGUUCCCAUCGUGGCACAGUGGAAACAAAUCUAACUAGGAACCAUGAGGUUGCAGCCCCUGUCCCAUUUUAAAGUUUUACUUCCUAGGUCAUCCCAGAUUUGUAAUUCAUGCAUAACACAGGCCCCUAGUACUUCUUGAGCCCUCCCUGGAAAUCCAGAGAUGAAAAAGGCCCAGCCUCUGUCUGUUCUUAAGUCCUCAGGGCAUGGGCAGCCCCGUGGGAGAAAAAGCACUCGGGGAUCAACACGGGGUUGCAGCUUGCUUGCAUGAUCUGUUCCCGUGUCUGAGAUUGUCUGGGUGAGACUCCCCUUCGCCAGCUGCCCGUCCACGGAGCGCUGCCUCCCCUAGCUGGACAGGCUGCACCAGUCGCCACAGGAGGCCUCAGCGUUCCUUCCCACCCCCGGGGCAGAUCUCAAGUAAGAUCCUCAAGCCCCGCCAGGCUCGUCCCCCCAGCGGAUCACACACUACCCCGACCCCAGUCCUCCGUCCCGGCUGUUAGCGUGGGGCUGCUGGUUUCCUACCACCUCCUCUUAUCUCCCUGAAGACACCAAGGGCUUCCCAAUGGAAGUAAAUUAAAACCUCUGUUUUAACCAGCGCGGGAGCCCUUGCAAGCGUGCCUCCGAUUAAGCGGGAUCGCUCUGGUUUCCAGACAACAGCCUCUCAAGCAAACUCCUUCCCUUCGUUCCUGGGCCCAGCAAACAGCCCCUCCCGGGCCCCAGCCUGCUGCUCCUUGUCCCCACUCGGGUUCUCCCGCACUUGGAGAAGCACACCUGACAGAUUUCACAUCCUUCGGGCCAGGCAGCACCACGUGCGGAAACCCCUGCUUCUACUUCGUUUUCUACAGCUUGUAUGUGAAGAACAUCUGGGCCUGUUACUCAGUUUUGAGAAAAAGUAGGGAAGUUCGUGGCCUGAAUAGUUACUUGGUGAAGGUGAAAGGUAAACCUACCUACGACAGCAAACUCGCAGCAGCAGCAGCAGCAGCAGCGUGAUUACAGCAGCGCCUGGUAGGGUUCCCAGUGCUGUACAUACGCUCAUCACGGAAGCCGCCACGGGCCUAUGAUGUUGUCUUAUUACAGGUCGUGAAAGCGGGACCCAAAGAGCUUAACUGUCUUGCCUGGAGUCAUCCAGUUCCCCACGGGCAGCGCUGGGAUUUGCACCUUUGUCAUCCAGCUCAGAGGGGACUACGCACCGGGAAGGGAGCAAGAGAACCGAGGCGCUUCCCCGCCCCUUACAGGCAGCACACAGCAAGCCCUGCAGAUAAGCUGCAUUUGUACAUAUUUACAUGUCACCUUCAGGAAGAGCAGGGUUUGCCC
Molecule: long non-coding RNA, 5586 nt
Filed under: Sus scrofa (pig)
Lineage: Eukaryota; Metazoa; Chordata; Mammalia; Artiodactyla; Suidae
Description: lncRNA (ENSSSCG00000059510.1)
Source: RNAcentral